Phrynosoma platyrhinos (Desert horned lizard) is the source of this 72-nucleotide non-coding RNA. Lineage: Eukaryota; Metazoa; Chordata; Lepidosauria; Squamata; Phrynosomatidae. The record is from the annotation of a GenBank genome assembly.
GCCAGUGUGGUGUAGUGUUUUGAGUGUUGGACUAUCACUCUGGAGACCAGGGUUCAAAGCCCAGCUUGGCCA